RNAcentral lists this ribosomal RNA (434 nucleotides) under uncultured Coprococcus sp. RNAcentral describes it as "partial 16S ribosomal RNA". It matches the Rfam family "Bacterial small subunit ribosomal RNA", at positions 341 to 792 of the family's 1533-position model. The record is from RNAcentral. Lineage: Bacteria; Bacillati; Bacillota; Clostridia; Lachnospirales; Lachnospiraceae.
ACGGGAGGCAGCAGUGGGGAAUAUUGCACAAUGGGGGAAACCCUGAUGCAGCGACGCCGCGUGAGUGAUGAAGUAUUUCGGUAUGUAAAGCUCUAUCAGCAGGGAAGAUAAUGACGGUACCUGACUAAGAAGCACCGGCUAAAUACGUGCCAGCAGCCGCGGUAAUACGUAUGGUGCAAGCGUUAUCCGGAUUUACUGGGUGUAAAGGGAGCGUAGGUGGCAAGGCAAGUCUGAAGUGAAAGCUCGGGGCUCAACCCCGGAACUGCUUUGGAAACUGUUUAGCUAGAGUACAGGAGAGGAAAGCGGAAUUCCUAGUGUAGCGGUGAAAUGCGUAGAUAUUAGGAGGAACACCAGUGGCGAAGGCGGCUUUCUGGACUGACACUGACACUGAGGCUCGAAAGCGUGGGGAGCAAACAGGAUUAGAUACCCUGGUA